This is a long non-coding RNA of Lutra lutra (Eurasian river otter), 2534 nucleotides long. RefSeq lists it as uncharacterized. The transcript has 3 exons. The record is from RefSeq and is a predicted model, not a curated record. NCBI's taxonomy places the organism in Eukaryota, Metazoa, Chordata, Mammalia, Carnivora, Mustelidae.
CACUCACAGAUGGAGCCACACUUGGUGAGCUGGACCCCAGGCAGCUGGAGCCCAGAUGGCUCAUCCCAGCUGAGCCCCUUUGUUCUUAGUUGUGGAAACUGUGGCCCAGAGAGGGUAAGGGGAUGGUCAAGCCACACAGCCAAAGUUCCAAGUGUUUCCAAGCGUCUGAGAGCCUGGCAGAAAAGGAAAGAAGCGUCCAGACUCCUCCCUCCCUCACUGCCACCCUCCUCAAGCCCCCUGACUCAGUUUCUCCCUGUGCUGGGCAGAAGCAGCCAAAUGGCUUCCUCCAGGAUGGCUGCCAAGACUGGGCGCUGUGUGAGACUCUCGUCCUCCGCCCCGGGGUGAAGGUCACCGGAAGCUGCUCAGGGGAGGACACCCACUGUUGAGGCAAAACCGGCCUGGGCUUGCUGUGUUAGCCCCUGGGUGGGCUCUGUCGCCUGCAGGAAACAUUCAGCUCCGGGCUACAGUACACACACACCCUCAGCCUGAACUUCUUGCUUCCUGCCUCAGUCUCCCUCCUCAGGGCUCAAGCCCCUCAGCCAUGGCGUGACCUGUGUCUCCGGGGACUGCCCCUGUGCCCUAGACCAUCAGCUCCACAAGGAUUUAAUUAUUAAUUUGAGAGAGAGCUCGUAAGUAUACGGCUGGAUGAAUUUGUAGAAGCUGAACAUACCCAUGGACCCCAGUGCUCAGAAGCCCCCUUGGGACUCCCUCACUACCCCCAGAGAAACCUCUCUCCGGACCCCCAACCCCCUGGGCGACCUCGGCCUGCUUCUAAGCUGACCUUGGCUAGAGCCACACACUGUGUGGUCUUCUGUGUCUGCCUGCUUCUGCUCGAUACCAGACUGCGUGAAGGAAGGGAGUUUCAACUAAUGCGUCCAAUGUGUGAGCUCCUGGAACACCUCCAAACCUGCCCCUCCUCCAGUCUGCCCCGCAACUGCCUCCUUCCAGAAUUGGGCAAACCUCAGCCCUACCAGCUCUCACCCAGCAGCCAAUCGAUCAGAAAAUUCUGUCACUAUCCCUGGGAAUCACCCCUCGCCCGCCCAGUUGCUGUGACCUGAUCUGAGCCAACAUCAUCAAUGCUGGGAUACUUGCAAUGGCAUCUGGUCUCAUCCCCUUCAUUCUAUUCCCAGUACAGUAGCCAGUGAUUUUUAUCAAAAAGUAAGUUAGAUUAUGUCACAUUCCUACCUUCACCCUGGUGAAUCUGGGGAAAAGCCACAGUCCUUUCUGAUUGUCCCAUCUGCACCCAAACAUCAUCUCCUGUGCCUCUCAUUGGGUUCUAGCCACACUGACUUCCUGUUCUUUGUGUAUAAAGUAUACAUGCCUAUCUCAGGGCCUUUGCACUUGUGGUUCCUCUGCUUGGAAUGCAGAGGAAAACCUCCCCUCAAUGUCUCCAUGGUUUGCUCCUCACCUUCUUCAGGUUUCACUUAUAUAUUAUCUUCUUGGAGAAGCUUUUACUAACUACCAAAUUAAAAAUUACAGAACAUACCGAGGGCCCAGAUCUUACUUUCUCAUAUUCUCCAGUAAAAGGAACCAGGGACUCUUGAGAAAUGGCUGAUUCUAGAACUGAGGGUGGAGAUACACAAGAUGAGCCCAGGGCAUCUUAUAAUGCCAGGAAGUAAGGAAAUGCUAAAGAAAUAAACAAAUAAAUAAAUUAAGGAGGGAUGUAGGACCCAGAUGAAAGAGGUCCCAAAAGGCAAAGCUAGAAGAAAUGGAGCAACAAAUGGCAUAUUAUUGCAUUAUAACCCAAAUGUAAAAUAAACAUCCAUGAGUCCAUUAUAAAUAAGUGAUUGGAUCAAUUAAUAAGUGGACAAGAGGUAAAUCUCCCGUGCAAAAGAAUUCCAAAUCAUUUAUGUAGAUACGUCACCCGAAAUGGGGGAGCAUGAUUUCUGCUCCUUAAGUGUGGGCUGCCCACAGCUACUUCCUUCCCGAGAGGACAGCAUAAAAAGGGGGAUGCGGGGGAGAAACUUUGCAGUGGAGAAAUCUGGUGAACUCCCGGUCAGCGCCAGGAGCUACCAGUCACGUUGCUAGUAUGUACCCUUAAUGUGACAGGUGACAAACAUGGCACCUGAGCUCUGCGAUCCUGCUCCUGGAAACCCAGAGCCCCAGGCUGAUGAUGAGAAAAACAUGAAGCCGUUUCCAGUACAGAACGCUUGACCAGUACGCUGCAAAACUGUCAAGUUUGAGGGAAGGGAAGUCUGAGAAAGCUGCCACAGCCAGGACCUGUGGCUGAAGACUACUAAGUAGAAUGGACUCCUGGAUGGACUCCUGGAAAAAAAAAAAGGAAGUUAGGUAAACCGAGGAAAAGUGAAUAAACUACAGACAUUAGUCAAUAAUGGUGUAUUAAUAUGGGCUCAUUGAUCGUAACAAAUGCAGCAUUAAAAUGUAAGAGAUGGUGUAAGUCAAUAACAGAAGGAACCAUAUGUAGAAGUAUUUUGGGAGAACUGUUUGUACUAUCUUAAUUUUUCUAUAGACCUAAACCUGCUAUAAAAAAAAAAAAUCAAUCAAAAAUGGCAGCCCCCCCCCCAAUACCCCAU